AUCUCAUUUGCAAUCAGCUCUGGAAAUUCCUCAUUCUUGGGUGGAUGCUCUCAACUAUCACAAUCUUAUCCAACUAGGUGGGCACGUGCCGCCGCCUCA
Non-coding RNA from Prunus avium (sweet cherry), 99 nucleotides. The record is from RefSeq and is a predicted model, not a curated record. Lineage: Eukaryota; Viridiplantae; Streptophyta; Magnoliopsida; Rosales; Rosaceae.